RNAcentral lists this ribosomal RNA (423 nucleotides) under uncultured bacterium. RNAcentral describes it as "bacterial SSU rRNA". It matches the Rfam family "Bacterial small subunit ribosomal RNA", at positions 30 to 504 of the family's 1533-position model. The record is from RNAcentral.
UGAACGCUGGCGGUAUGCCUAACACAUGCAAGUCGUACGAGAGUUUUUAACUCAAGUGGCGGACGGGUGAGUAACACGUAAGAAUUUACCUUUAGGAGGGGGAUAAACUGGUAAUACCCCAUAUGCUUUCGAGUAAAAUGGAGUUUUCUGCCUAGAGAGAAGCUUGCGGCUGAUUAGCUUGUUGGUAAGGUAAUGGCUUACCAAGGCGACGAUCAGUAUCUGGUUUGAGAGGACGAUCAGACACACUGGAACUGAGACACGGUCCAGACUCCUACGGGAGGCAGCAGUGAGGAAUUUUCCGCAAUGGGCGAAAGCCUGACGGAGCAAUACCGCGUGAGGGAUGACGGCCUAUGGGUUGUAAACCUCUUUUUUCAGGGAGGAAUAAAAUGACGUGUACCUGAAGAAUAAGCAUCGGCUAACUCC